RNAcentral lists this long non-coding RNA (897 nucleotides) under Astyanax mexicanus (Mexican tetra). RNAcentral's name for it is "lncRNA (ENSAMXG00005015679.1)". Lineage: Eukaryota; Metazoa; Chordata; Actinopteri; Characiformes; Acestrorhamphidae. The record is from RNAcentral.
AGCAUGCCUGUUUGCCCUCAGCUUUCUGUAGAUUACUCUGCUUCUAUGCAGCCAAGCUCUUUCUGCUGAGAUGGUAAAGUGGGGAAUUACAGGGAGCCAGUAUUGGACAGCAGUCAUCAAGCUGGGUUUUUAGGGCCCAUAUAUCACCUGUCGCCCGAAUGCCCACUGCGCUUUCUUUGAGCGCCUCAGUCGUAUUGAUCUGUUCUCAAAAAGAAAUUAUGAACCGUAUUUGUUGAUGUUUAAUUAGCAUACCAAUGUCAGAUCAAUAGCACACAUUUAUGUUUUUUACCAUUUCAUUUACGUAGUAAAAAUUAAUGUGUUUUUCUCAGUUUUUGACAGAUGGUGUUAAGAAACAUCUGCCUUGCAAAGAAAACGAGGAUCAUCUUGAUCUUCCUGAGCUUGAAUUCAUCAGUGUAGCUCAGGUUGAAAAGGCUAAUCCAUUUGGGGAACUGCUGAAUAAAGAAUCAUCCAACUUUAAUAACUGGGACCCAGAGUGGACUGAUAGAAACAGUGCAGAGGACGAGCCCAAACCUGUUCAGAACUGGCAGGAGAAAAGUGGCGCAGCUGUGUCGCUGUCAUCUGCACCUUCUGUGAAGCUGACAUCAGGAGCUCAAUUCCGUGCAUAUGUACAGGACUGUAAACAAGCCCAGUCUGCCUCCACCCUGCGGACUCUCAGCCUCCACACUCCAGGCCUGAUGGGCAGCUGCAGCAGACAGCAGACAGGUUAAACCCAGCACAACCCCAAUCUAGACACAGCGUUUCAGAGUUAAGAUAACGGAGAGCCUGUAAACCACAGCAAUUUAAACGAACACUCACUGCAUAAACAGCAUAGUAAUAAGUAGGGCUGGUAGAAGUUAUUGAUAAUGUAAAAAAUAAAACAUCUUCAGCAGUUAUUCA